GAUGAAGAACGCAGCGAAAUGCGAUAAGUAAUGUGAAUUGCAGAAUUCAGUGAAUCAUCGAAUCUUUGAACGCACCUUGCACCCUUUGGCAUUCCGAAGGGCAUGCCUGUUUGAGUAUCGUGAACACCUCAACUCUCAUGGUUUGCCAUGAUGAGCUUGGACUUUGGGGGUUUUGCUGGCCUUUGGUCGGCUCCUCUCAAACGGAUCAGCUUUCCAGUGUUUGGUGGCGUCACGGGUGUGAUAACUAUCUACGCCUGUGGUUUUCUGCCAGAUAACCUUCAGCGAUGGAGGUUCGCUGGGGCUCAUAAAUGUCUCUCUUCAGUGGAGACAGCUUUUUGGACGUUUGAUCUCAAAUCAGGUAGGACUACCCGCUGAACUUAAGCAUAUCAAUAAGCGGAGGA
This 401-nucleotide unclassified non-coding RNA is filed under the name soil metagenome. Its description in RNAcentral is "partial contains 5.8S ribosomal RNA, internal transcribed spacer 2, and large subunit ribosomal RNA". The stretch from base 1 to 120 matches the Rfam family "5.8S ribosomal RNA", at positions 35 to 154 of the family's 154-position model. The record is from RNAcentral.